Molecule: long non-coding RNA, 1616 nt
Filed under: Salmo trutta (river trout)
Lineage: Eukaryota; Metazoa; Chordata; Actinopteri; Salmoniformes; Salmonidae
Description: lncRNA (ENSSTUG00000010769.1)
Source: RNAcentral
GUUUCAGGGGAGACUUACUGCAGUGUCAUCUCAGAGUUUCAGGAGAGACUUACUGCUGUGUCAUCUCAGAGUUUCAGGGGAGACUUACUGCUGUGUCAUCUCAGAGUUUCAGGGGAGACUUACUGCUGUGUCAUCUCAGAGUUUCAGGGGAGACUUACUGCUGUGUCAUCUCAGAGUUUCAGGGGAGACUUACUGCUGUGUCAUCUCAGAGUUUCAGGGGAGACUUACUGCUGUGUCAUCUCAGAGUUUCAGGAGAGACUUACUGCUGUGUCAUCUCAGAGUUUCAGGGGGGACUUACUGCUGUGUCAUCUCAGAGUUUCAGGGGGGACUUACUGCUGUGUCAUCUCAGAGUUUCAGGGGGGACUUACUGCUGUGUCAUCUCAGAGCUUUAACUGUUAAUGUAUGUGGGCGUCUGCAUUGUCUUAGUCUAUUACAAAGUCCUAAAAAUAACCAACAUGUCUCUCUCUCUCAUCCGCUCUAUCUGUCUCUUCUCUCUCUGUAUCUCUCUUCCCUCCCUCUCUCCCUCUCUGUUUCUCCUCUCUUUCUGUCUCUCUUUUUCUCCCUCUUAGUCAUUGUCCGCUGACCCUGGCGUGGGGGGGCGUGGUCUGGACGCCACAGGAGGCGGGGUCAGGCGUCUCCGCAGAGAUCUCCGUGAUUCACUGCCGUACGAGGCCGGGAUGAUGUCCUAUCCUGGCGAGUCGGCUGACGUCCUGACCCGGCGGGGGGGCAACGAGCUGCUCUAUCAACCCGAGGAGUGGAGGGGGCAGGGCUUAAGCCAUGCUGUGCAGCAAUUGGUGGAGAACGACGAGAGGCACGAACAGGAAACGGCGUACCUGGCCGGGUUGCUCCGCCUCCUCAGUGAAGCUGAAGGAACUGCCGGAGAGGAUGGAGGUGUGGAGGACCAGGGGCCAGCGGACUUCCAAGGGCCCUAUACCCGUGACUAUGAUGAGACAGAGCAGGGCAUGAGAAUGGGAAAGCCCCAGGCUGCAGCUCCAUGGCAAGGCCUACUGGACCCACAGCUCACCCAGGCCCUGCUCAACAGAUACAGGCAGGAGAGGCUGCAGCAGCAGGCUGGGUUACCAGGUCUACCAGCCACCAUCAACAGGCUUACAGAUGACAGGCUGGAAACAGGCAGCCAGGACCGAGACCAGGAGGCUCUGAGAUACCUCGUAACCAAGAUCCUGUCCAGCAUUGGUCCCAACAACCCUCAGGGUUCGUCAGGCCGCCGGGCGAGGAGGGACCUGGUGUCUGUGUCUGGUGGUGGGGGUGGAGGGGUCAGAGCAGCCUCAGAACCAGUCUUCCACAGGUCCCGUCGCUCCCUGGUCUCCCCUCCUACUCCCUCCCCCAGCCGGGAGCCCUCUCCGGGGCUUCUGAGGGUUAAGAGGCUGGGGUACAUGGAAGAGGGCCCUGGAUGGCUUGGGGGAGAGAGGGAGGGCCGCAAGACCCAAAACCAUGCUGUGGGGUUACAGAGGAUGAAGAGGAUCGACACCGAACUACAGGCCCAGCCUGGUGGGAGGACCAGCCGCAGGAGAAGAGCCCUGAACUACGACCCCCAAGCCCUAACCCACGACCCUGAGCUGCUGGUCCAACACAUCUUACACUACCUGCCACAGUAG